RNAcentral lists this ribosomal RNA (253 nucleotides) under uncultured bacterium. Its description in RNAcentral is "partial 16S ribosomal RNA". It matches the Rfam family "Bacterial small subunit ribosomal RNA", at positions 524 to 776 of the family's 1533-position model. The record is from RNAcentral.
UACGUAGGGGGCUAGCGUUGUCCGGAAUCAUUGGGCGUAAAGAGCGUGUAGGCGGUCCGGUAAGUCCGCUGUGAAAGUCGGGGGCUCAACCCUCGAAUGCCGGUGGAUACUGUCGGGCUAGAGUGCGGAAGAGGUGAGUGGAAUUCCUGGUGUAGCGGUGAAAUGCGCAGAUAUCAGGAGGAACACCUAUUGCGAAGGCAGCUCGCUGGGACGUAACUGACGCUGAGACGCGAAAGCGUGGGGAGCGAACAGG